GAUGAACGCUGGCGGCGUGCCUAAUACAUGCAAGUCGAGCGAACGGACGAGAAGCUUGCUUCUCUGAUGUUAGCGGCGGACGGGUGAGUAACACGUGGAUAACCUACCUAUAAGACUGGGAUAACUUCGGGAAACCGGAGCUAAUACCGGAUGAUAUUUUGAACCGCAUGGUUCAAAAGUGAAAGACGGUCUUGCUGUCACUUAUAGAUGGAUCCGCGCUGCAUUAGCUAGUUGGUAAGGUAACGGCUUACCAAGGCAACGAUGCAUAGCCGACCUGAGAGGGUGAUCGGCCACACUGGAACUGGGACACGGUCCAGCCUCCUACGGGAGGCAGCAGUAGGGAAUCUUCCGCAAUGGGCGAAAGCCUGACGGAGCAACGCCGCGUGAGUGAUGAAGGUCUUCGGAUCGUAAAACUCUGUUAUUAGGGAAGAACAUAUGUGUAAGUAACUGUGCACCUCUUGACGGUACCUAAUCAGAAAGCCACGGCUAACUACGUG
Molecule: ribosomal RNA, 497 nt
Filed under: uncultured bacterium
Lineage: Bacteria
Description: partial 16S ribosomal RNA
Rfam family: Bacterial small subunit ribosomal RNA
Source: RNAcentral